Long non-coding RNA from Brassica napus (rape), 994 nucleotides. RefSeq lists it as uncharacterized. NCBI's taxonomy places the organism in Eukaryota, Viridiplantae, Streptophyta, Magnoliopsida, Brassicales, Brassicaceae. The record is from RefSeq and is a predicted model, not a curated record. The transcript is spliced from 2 exons.
AAAAAAAAUAUUAGUCUAGAAAAAAGUAAUACUAGAAAAUUCCCAAACAUCGUGGCCAAAUAGGGACGAUAGAGAAGGAAAGCUCGUUGUUGUUUGUUAAUCAGUGUUGUCGAUUUGAUGGAUAUUUUAAAAACACGGCAAAAAUAAACAAACAAUAAAUAAAAGACUUUGCCACGUUACCGACAUAGCUAGAAUGCUCGAAAGUGAGCUCAUUUUUUGUUUCUUUCGUUUGAAUGAUACUACUAGACGAAUUGGAACGGAUCCCACGAUAUUAAAACCUUAUCGCUCCUCAAUUAGUUCAUCAUCUUAAUUUGUUGUCUACGUCGAUGCAACUAAUUAAUUAGACUUCUCUCGAACCCUACUGUUUUUAUUUAACCGAUAUAACUAAACCAUGACUGAUUGAUUGACCUAGUUAGCUCGAAACAUGAGUGAAAACACUAUCUCGAACAUAUCAGCGAUACAUGAUAAUCUCUGUCAAACUUCAUCUCCAUUAAGACAACGUGCGUACUCCUCUUGAUGAACACUGACACAUAUGCAGCGAUCCAUAAUCUAGACGAAAUUGACGGUGAGCUUCGUCGAAAUCUUCGAAGAGGCAGUCGACGGAUGAGGCUUCAUGAAGGAAGGAGUCUGGGGCGGGUCUAUGUUCGGUGCGACUUUCUUCCAAGACUCCACAAACGUUCGUCGACGGAAUUUCCGUUGAAAAGGCACGAGCCGUCGCCGAUUUCGAGGAUCUGGCGGCGAUCCGUCGUAGAGGAGGCGAGAAGCUUGUCUAAACAUGGAGGUGAUUUGGUGAUGAUGAAUCCAUGUCGCAGAUGAGAGAGAGGAAGACGAUAAGAAGAAAAAAGAAAGAAAAGAAAAAAAGAAAAAAGAAAAAAGAAAAAGGAAAAAAAAUCAAAAACACAAUAUGCUGACACGUGUGGUAAGGAUCUCCUUUGUGAUCGGUUGCAAAAACCAUGAAUUAAAGAUCGGUUAUAUGAAUUUAAUUUUGUUUCCA